GGGGCUGACUUGGAUUUCGACAGAUUUCUUGUCGCACAGAUAGCAUGCCAAGCGCUGCUUGUAAAACAGCAACAAAAAUAACUGUAAACAACGCAGAUUACGCUCCAGCUUACGCUAAAGUUGCGUGAGUUAAUCUCCUUUUGGAGCUGGACUGAUUAGAAUUUCUAGCGUUUUAAUCACUCCAUAACCUUAAGCUAGACGCUUUUAAAAGGUGGUUCGCCUUUUAAACUAAGAAACAAGAACUCUUGAAACUACCUCAAGGUUUUAGAAAGUUGGACCAGAGCUAGUUUUAAGGCUAAAAAAUUAACCAAUUUUCUAAGCAUUGUAGAAGUUUGUGUUUAGGGCAAGAUUUUUGGACUGGGGUUCGAUUCCCCACAGCUCCACCA
This 386-nucleotide transfer-messenger RNA is filed under the name Helicobacter pylori. It matches the Rfam family "transfer-messenger RNA". From Rfam's summary of the family: Bacterial tmRNA, also known as 10Sa RNA or SsrA, is named for its dual tRNA and mRNA-like properties. The record is from RNAcentral. Lineage: Bacteria; Pseudomonadati; Campylobacterota; Epsilonproteobacteria; Campylobacterales; Helicobacteraceae.